RNAcentral lists this ribosomal RNA (572 nucleotides) under uncultured Glomeromycotina. Its description in RNAcentral is "SSU rRNA". It matches the Rfam family "Eukaryotic small subunit ribosomal RNA", at positions 548 to 1114 of the family's 1831-position model. Lineage: Eukaryota; Fungi; Glomeromycota. The record is from RNAcentral.
UUGGAGGGCAAGUCUGGUGCCAGCAGCCGCGGUAAUUCCAGCUCCUAUAGCGUAUAUUAAAGUUGUUGCAGUUAAAAAGCUCGUAGUUGAAUUUCGGGAUUGACGUGAUGGUCAUGCCUUAAGGGGUAUGAACUGUCACUGUUGAUUUCUCACCUUCUGGAGAAACUUGAUGUCCUUUAUUGGGUGUCUUGCGGAUCCAGGACCUUUACCUUGAAAAAAUUAGAGUGUUUAAAGCAGGCAUUUUUGCUCGAAUACAUUAGCAUGGAAUAAUAGAAUAGGACGGCAUGGUUCUAUUUUGUUGGUUUCUAGGAUCACCGUAAUGAUUAAUAGGGAUAGUUGGGGGCAUUAGUAUUCAAUUGUCAGAGGUGAAAUUCUUGGAUUUAUUGAAGACUAACUACUGCGAAAGCAUUUGCCAAGGAUGUUUUCAUUAAUCAAGAACGAAAGUUAGGGGAUCGAAGACGAUCAGAUACCGUCGUAGUCUUAACCAUAAACUAUGCCGACUAGGAAUCAGACGAUGUUAAUUUUUUAAUGACUCGUUUGGCACCUUACGGGAAACCAAAGUGUUUGGGUUC